This 450-nucleotide ribosomal RNA is filed under the name uncultured bacterium. Its description in RNAcentral is "partial 16S ribosomal RNA". It matches the Rfam family "Bacterial small subunit ribosomal RNA", at positions 338 to 795 of the family's 1533-position model. The record is from RNAcentral.
CCUACGGGAGGCAGCAGUUUCGAAUCAUUCACAAUGGGCGAAAGCCUGAUGGUGCGACGCCGCGUGAGGGAUGAAGGUCUUCGGAUUGUAAACCUCUGUCACUGGGGAAGAAACGCUUUGAGUUAAUAGUUCAAAGCCUGACUUAACCCGGAGAGGAAGCAGUGGCUAACUCUGUGCCAGCAGCCGCGGUAAUACAGAGACUGCAAGCGUUAUUCGGAAUCACUGGGCGUAAAGGGUGCGCAUGCGGUCGGAAAUCCCGGAGCUUAACUCCGGAACUGCGCCUCAAACUACACGGCUAGAGCAUUGGAGAGGGAAGUGGAAUUCACGGUGUAGCAGUGAAAUGCGUAGAUAUCGUGAGGAACACCAGUGGCGAAGGCGACUUCCUGGACAAUUGCUGACGCUCAGGCACGAAAGCGUGGGGAGCAAAAGGGAUUAGAUACCCUAGUAGUC